GAAGAUGACGAGUGGCGGACGGGUGAGUAAUACUUAGGAAUAUGCCUUUGUGUGGGGGAUAACCAUUGGAAACGAUGGCUAAUACCGCAUAACGUCUUCGGACCAAAGGGGGCCUUGGCUCCCGCGCAAAGAGUAGCCUAAGCGAGAUUAGCUUGUUGGUGAG
RNAcentral lists this ribosomal RNA (163 nucleotides) under Glaciecola sp. UW-3-2. Its description in RNAcentral is "partial 16S ribosomal RNA". It matches the Rfam family "Bacterial small subunit ribosomal RNA", at positions 84 to 256 of the family's 1533-position model. The record is from RNAcentral. Lineage: Bacteria; Pseudomonadati; Pseudomonadota; Gammaproteobacteria; Alteromonadales; Alteromonadaceae.